RNAcentral lists this ribosomal RNA (253 nucleotides) under uncultured bacterium. RNAcentral describes it as "partial 16S ribosomal RNA". It matches the Rfam family "Bacterial small subunit ribosomal RNA", at positions 524 to 776 of the family's 1533-position model. The record is from RNAcentral.
GACGGAGGGCGCAAGCGUUGUUCGGAAUUACUGGGCGUAAAGCGCGGGCAGGUGGUCCUUUAAGUCCUUUGUGAAAUCCCGGGGCUCAACUCCGGAUGUGCAGAGGAUACUGGAGGACUAGAGACCGGUAGAGGCGAGUGGAAUUCCUGGUGUAGCGGUGGAAUGCGUAGAUAUCAGGAAGAACACCAGUGGCGAAGGCGGCUCACUGGCCCGAUACUGACGCUGAGGCACGAAAGCGUGGGGAGCAAACAGG